UGUGAGGUUCUGCUCUGACAGCCCCCAGGCCCCAGAACAGCCUUAGGGCACCGCAGCCUGGAAGCUAAGCAGGACUGGGCCUGGCUGGGGCUUGGGUGGGAGACUGCCUAGGAAGACCAGGGAGACUCCAAAG
Chlorocebus sabaeus (green monkey) is the source of this 133-nucleotide ribosomal RNA. Lineage: Eukaryota; Metazoa; Chordata; Mammalia; Primates; Cercopithecidae. The record is from Ensembl.